GUCGAGGGGCAGCACAAUGCGUAGCAAUACAAAUGGUGGCGACCGGCGCACGGGUGAGUAACACGUAUGCAACCUACCUGUAAGAGGGGAAUAACCCGGAGAAAUUCGGACUAACACCGCAUAAUACUGUUGAACUGCAUGGUUCGACAGUUAAAUAUUUAUAGCUUACAGAUGGGCAUGCGUAACAUUAGAUAGUUGGUGAGGUAACGGCUCACCAAGUCAACGAUGUUUAGGGGUUCUGAGAGGAAGGUCCCCCACACUGGUACUGAGACACGGACCAGACUCCUACGGGAGGCAGCAGUGAGGAAUAUUGGUCAAUGGGCGAGAGCCUGAACCAGCCAAGUCGCGUGAAGGAAGAAUGUCCUAUGGAUUGUAAACUUCUUUUGUAAGGGAAUAAAAAAGAGUACGUGUACUCUAUUGUAUGUACUUUACGAAUAAGGAUCGGCUAACUCCGUGCCAGCAGCCGCGGUAAUACGGAGGAUCCGAGCGUUAUCCGGAUUUAUUGGGUUUAAAGGGUGCGUAGGCGGACCAAUUAGUCAGUGGUGAAAGUUUGCAGCUCAACUGUAAAAUUGCCAUUGAAACUGUUGGUCUUGAGUGUAAAUGAGGUAGGCGGAAUGUGUUGUGUAGCGGUGAAAUGCU
Molecule: ribosomal RNA, 639 nt
Filed under: uncultured bacterium
Lineage: Bacteria
Description: bacterial SSU rRNA
Rfam family: Bacterial small subunit ribosomal RNA
Source: RNAcentral